CUGGAUCCUUCCUCUGCCCUUCUCCUGCCUCCCCACCUGCUCCAUGGGCAUAAGACUGUGGGGCUUCAAGCAAUAACAAGCAGAGGCCUGGAGAGAGGACACAAGGAGGGUGCGUGGUGCCCUCACCCCUGCCCAGAGCGAGGGGGCAAGGACUCUGCCUCCAGGGCAUCUGGGGUUUUCCCCUCCCUCACACAACACACUCCCAUUCUCUUUAGGUUUGCACCAGUGGUGUGAGCAGUUGGACUCAGUUUGGACAAGGGGGAAAGGGGGACUUCCCUGGGAAGGUCCAGCUAAAAGUGGCAACAUUUGCCCCCAGAAUUGGGGGCCUGGGAACACUGGACCUGCUCCUUCUCCCCUCUCCUUCCCCGUUUUUGUGCUUCUGGUUUGUUUCUUUAAUUAAUUUAACAAGUGCUGCAGUUUGCCCUCCCAUUCCCAUCUAUCCCCCAAGUCCUUUGCAAUUUCUUCCCUGCCCUACAUAGGGGCGGUGGGUGUGGGAUCCCUUCACUGGCCCCCUCGGGAGGCCUGGGUUGGACUCAGGGUCUCCUCCAGCUGGGGGCUGGACCGCAGCACCUAUCUGAGCAGUUAGAGCGUCUUUCUUUUCAGAUUGUGUACAGUAGAUUAUUUAUUUUGUUAUUUUGGAAUAAAAUUUAUUUUAUGGCUUA
Molecule: long non-coding RNA, 662 nt
Filed under: Homo sapiens (human)
Lineage: Eukaryota; Metazoa; Chordata; Mammalia; Primates; Hominidae
Description: non-protein coding lnc-LRP1-1:1
Source: RNAcentral